RNAcentral lists this ribosomal RNA (253 nucleotides) under uncultured bacterium. RNAcentral's name for it is "partial 16S ribosomal RNA". It matches the Rfam family "Bacterial small subunit ribosomal RNA", at positions 524 to 776 of the family's 1533-position model. The record is from RNAcentral.
UACGUAGGUGGCAAGCGUUGUCCGGAUUUACUGGGCGUAAAGAGCGCGCAGGCGGUCGUUCAAGUCGCGUGUGAAAGCCCCCGGCUCAACUGGGGAGGGUCACGCGAUACUGAUCGACUCGAAGGCAGGAGAGGGUAGUGGAAUUCCCGGUGUAGUGGUGAAAUGCGUAGAUAUCGGAAGGAACAUCAGUGGCGAAGGCGACUUCCUGGACCAAUACUGACGCUCAGGUGCGAAAGCGUGGGGAGCAAACAGG